AGUGAACGCUGGCGGUAGGCCUAACACAUGCAAGUCGAACGGCAGCACAGUAAGAGCUUGCUCUUACGGGUGGCGAGUGGCGGACGGGUGAGGAACACAUCGGAAUCUACUUUUUCGUGGGAGAUAACGUAGGGAAACUUACGCUAAUACCGCAUACGACCUACGGGUGAAAGCAGGGGAUCUUCGGACCUUGCGCGAUUGAAUGAGCCGAUGUCGGAUUAGCUAGUUGGCGGGGUAAAGGCCCACCAAGGCGACGAUCCGUAGCUGGUCUGAGAGGAUGAUCAGCCACACUGGAACUGAGACACGGUCCAGACUCCUACGGGAGGCAGCAGUGGGGAAUAUUGGACAAUGGGCGCAAGCCUGAUCCAGCCAUACCGCGUGGGUGAAGAAGGCCUUCGGGUUGUAAAGCCCUUUUGUUGGGAAAGAAAAGCAGCAGGUUAAUACCCCGCUGUUCUGACGGUACCCAAAGAAUAAGCACCGGCUAACUUCGUG
This 492-nucleotide ribosomal RNA is filed under the name uncultured bacterium. RNAcentral describes it as "partial 16S ribosomal RNA". It matches the Rfam family "Bacterial small subunit ribosomal RNA", at positions 29 to 507 of the family's 1533-position model. The record is from RNAcentral.